CCUCGAUGAGUAGGAGGGCGCGGCGGUCGC
Molecule: small nuclear RNA, 30 nt
Filed under: Arabidopsis thaliana (thale cress)
Lineage: Eukaryota; Viridiplantae; Streptophyta; Magnoliopsida; Brassicales; Brassicaceae
Description: snRNA_05856
Source: RNAcentral